AAAAAAACAAAUGUGAAAAGGAGCAAAACCUUUAUAUAUGCCUUUAUAUAUAGAUCCAUCUCUCUCCUUUGCUUCUCAGGCAAAUUUCUUCCAAGGACAAUUGUCUCACUUCCUUAUUCUCCACUCACUAUGCCCACAUCUGCAGUCUGUCUCCUCUCUCCUCCAGACCUUUGAAACUGCACAGUGGUCACCGGUCAACUCCAUAUUGACAGUUAUACAAGAUGAGUAAGUUCCGGAGAGCUGCUGUACACCAUGGUGCCUAAAGUUAGCAAUAAGUGUUGAUAUGAUGUCUGGAGCUGGAGCAUGAGCUGGAGCAUAUAACCAUGAGAUGACAAGCAAAAAGAUAAAAGUCAACACUGUUAAAAUGGUGGAGAAGAAUGGAAAGAGCCUUGGUCCCUGAUGGCCUCUCGGAAUAGCUAAACCAAUGCUGGAAAAUGCCUACCUUUGAACUUAUUGUUAUUUAACAAAAGUAAAUUGUAUUUGCUUGUCAUUUUGUCACUUAUAAUCAAAUCCACUCUUAAGUACAACUUAAAUAUUAAGAAGUAUGUUUUUGUGUGUAUGAAUGUAUAUGCCUUUUAGUUUUUCCUCUUCCAUUUAUUAUGAAUGAUGAGGUUUGCUUCAAUAUAUAAAUGUAGAUUUCUUCUCAUGCCCAGCUACCAUUGGAAGUUUUCAGGGAGAAAAAUGGAGAAAGAAAAGGUGAAAACAAAAACGACAGAAAAGAAGAGGUUGUGGGAAAGAAGUGUAGGAAGCGUUAUCUUGAAAGAAAAACUAGAAGUAAAUUUUAAAAAGAGACAAAUUUAAAGUACAAUAGUAAACUUGAAAAUGUAAUAUAAAUAUAAUGUAUAUGCCUAAUUAUCUGCAUUAGUCUCUGUGUGUAUUAAUUUAUUCAAAAAUAUUUUUAAAUGACUAUGAUAACAUUGAUUUGCAAAGAUGUGCAUUUCUGGAAGAAUGUGAUGAAGCUCAGAGGAAUGAAGGCACAUCUGAUGAUGUGUGUGCAUGUUUCCACAAGAUGUGUCUGCCCACUCUAUGGAGGCUCUCUUUUGAGAAUUCUCAGCCAUAUCAUAGUUUUCUCCAACUUGUCAAAGUGAACUGUGUAUGUAAAAGAAAAGUGCUCCUUGGGGUGAGCAGGGUGAUACAUGAGGCCUCAAAAACUCAGGUGAUACCAGCCUGAAAGAUGGCGCUGUGUGGGACAUGCUUUGCAGACUCUCAGAGCAAUGUCUUCCUUCCAUGAUGCCAGGAUGGGACAGGCCUGGUGACCAGUGUGCACCAAACUUUUAAAAGAGAAAAGAACUGAAUUGUACAUUUGUUGGUGAAAAUUAAUGUUAUUCUUACAGCAUUUAUAAUUUGAAAAUAAAGGGGGAGAUAAAUUGUAUUUGAAAAGGCCCUACAUAGUCAAUCUUGUCACUUCCUUCAGAAAAAAAUAUGUAUUCCUCUAAUUCCUUCCCUCCCAUAUAUCCUCACCUCGUCACCUCUAGGAGAAGUGUACUCCGAAAAUUCUUUUAAUGGAUGUAUACAUAAUAUACAUUUAUUGCCAAAAACACAGAAAUUUAUUUUUUAAAAUUUACCUAUCCUCAGAGGUAUACACUGGGUACAUUUUUGUGUAUUUCCUUUCAAUCAUGUGUCUGCAUGUCUAUUUAUCUCUCUUUUCUUAUCCUCACAAAAUUGUAUCCUACUGUAUAUACUGAUUUGUAUCAGGCUUAUUUCUUAUAAUUUUGUAUCAUGAUUGUGUGCUUGGAGAAGUGUAUUUCCAUAGGUUCAGGGGCAUUUUCUGGGAAACAAAGUAACGAAGAGUCUUUCACACUCCAGUAACUAAAUGAAAGGGGGAGGCAGGUAGAAAGAGGGAUGCAUGUUAAAUAUAGAAACCACAAAUAAUUGAAUGAUGCUGGUAAUAAACAAGUCAUUAGUCUCGACUAGGGCUUGCAAACUGAUGGCUUGUCAGCCACAUCUGGCCUACAGAUGUUUUUGGUUUAGUUUAUAAAGUGUUGGUUUUUUCAAAAAUUGAGUUGGUGGCCAAAUUUAUAAAUUGAUAGAUUUCAUGUAUGAAACCUAAUGUUACAUUUUUGAAAAGCCAGAAGAAUUGACAAAUCAAGGGCCAUAUUCCUACAUGGCACACAUUGGCUGGAAGCAAUAGUGAAUACUAAGUGAAAUGGAGUGUGUGUUCUCUUGUCUACGCAUUAUGUUAUGGUCAACCUGGCUUCUACAGGCCUUUGCAAAACUAGGGGCAAGUCUAGAUGCAGUUUCUUCGAAAUUGUUUAUUAAUUAUCAUUACUGUUUUCAUGAGAGCAUAACCUCUUCUUGCGUCCAACUAGACAGCAGAUCGGGGAUGAGUUCUUCUUCUGUGUGGCCAUCACGUCUUACUGACUUACAUUAGAGGUUCUCAGUAAAUACUUGGAAAUGGCCAUACUCUUUGAUGGACAAGAAAUUUUAGUCUAAAAUAUUUUAGCACAGGAUAUGAUAAAUUGAAAGUAUAUUUUAAAAUAUCAUAUUCUCAAAUGAGCAACAUAAUAGCAGUAACAAGUUACAGCUUCCAUCAAUUUUCUUUAUGUAUUUAUUGAACUAAUGAGAGGUCUCAUUGAAAAUGAUUUUCAUUUAAACAAAAACUCUAGUUUUAUAGUCAACUUGCCAAAAGAACAGGUCUUCUUUUCAUGCUAGGCGCAUAUGGGUGGUGGGGGUAAAGAGUAUGGCAGGAGGGCUAUUAAAAAUUGUAAUUUGUAAGCAAUAUAGCAGGGUUGACCUUUGUAUCAAAUGUUACAUCUAGUCCUUCUGAGAUGAAGAUCAUAUUCCCAAGUAAAUAAAGGUAUUCAUCAGAAUGAA
RNAcentral lists this long non-coding RNA (2814 nucleotides) under Equus caballus (horse). RNAcentral's name for it is "lncRNA (ENSECAG00000049494.1)". The record is from RNAcentral. Lineage: Eukaryota; Metazoa; Chordata; Mammalia; Perissodactyla; Equidae.